This 454-nucleotide ribosomal RNA is filed under the name uncultured bacterium. Its description in RNAcentral is "bacterial SSU rRNA". It matches the Rfam family "Bacterial small subunit ribosomal RNA", at positions 340 to 786 of the family's 1533-position model. The record is from RNAcentral.
UACGGAAGGCAGCAGUGGGGAAUAUUGCACAAUGGGCGCAAGCCUGAUGCAGCCAUGCCGCGUGUAUGAAGAAGGCCUUCGGGUUGUAAAGUACUUUCAGCGGGGAGGAAGGCGAUGUGGUUAAUAACCGCGUCGAUUGACGUUACCCGCAGAAGAAGCACCGGCUAACUCCGUGCCAGCAGCCGCGGUAAUACGGAGGGUGCAAGCGUUAAUCGGAAUUACUGGGCGUAAAGCGCACGCAGGCGGUCUGUUAAGUCAGAUGUGAAAUCCCCGGGCUUAACCUGGGAACUGCAUUUUGAACUGGCAGGCUUGAGUCUCGUAGAGGGGGUAGAAUUCCAGGUGUAGCGGUGAAAUGCGUAGAGAUCUGGAGGAAUACCGGUGGCGAAGGCGGCCCCUGGGACGAAGACUGACGCUCAGGUGCGAAAGCGUGGGGAGCAAACAGGAUUAGGAUACC